AAUUCUCAAAACCCCUUCCUUUGCCGGAAUGGAUUUUGGACUUGGAGGCCUUUUGCUGGUUUCGCCUCGAAGCCAGCUCCUCCUAAAUGGAUUAGUGGGGUCUGCUUUGCCGAUCCUUGACAUGAUAAGAUGCUUCUACGUCUCGGGGUUAUUGGCACUGUGCCUCUGCUUCUAACCGUCUCUUUUGACAACGAUGGUGUUCCGGUCACCGCCGAUUCUUCGGUGGGAGGCUUGACCCACAAAACGA
RNAcentral lists this unclassified non-coding RNA (247 nucleotides) under uncultured Russula. RNAcentral describes it as "sequence contains ITS2". Lineage: Eukaryota; Fungi; Basidiomycota; Agaricomycetes; Russulales; Russulaceae. The record is from RNAcentral.